UGUGCGCAAGUCCAAGGGCUCUACGAAACCUACGGGCGCAAUGAAAGUGAAGGGGAUAGGGGCAACCCACCCUGAGGCAGGAUCCUGGCCUUGAGUGGCUGGGCGCACUGCCGGCCCGUCACAAUACCGGUAAACAAGAGGUGGACUGGCUGCCUUUCAAGCGAAGGGGAGGUUUAAGACCCUGGAGUUGACCGGGUCCCCCCUGGUAGCGGCGGCCAGGUCGAAGCUUCAUAGGCCCGGUUAUUUAAGUUAGCCGCGGAACCUCGGUGUGGCGGAGCUAGAGCGUACACGUUGGGACCCGAAAGAUGGUGAACUAUGCCUGGGCAGGCUGAAGCCAAGGGAAACCUUGGUGGAGGGCCGCAGAGAUUCUGACGUGCAAAUCGAUCUUCCGACCUGGGUAUAGGGGCGAAAGACUAAUCGAACCAUCUAGUAGCUGGUUCCCUCCGAAGUUUCCCUCAGGAUAGCUGGUACUCGGGAAGCAGUUGUAUCCGGUAAAGCCAAUGAUUAGAGCGUCCGGGGGCGAAAGGCCCUCGGCCUAUUCUCAAACUUUAAAUGGGUACGAUAUCCCCCCGGCCUGACCGCGGUGGGAGUACUGAAUGCGAGAACCAAGU
RNAcentral lists this ribosomal RNA (611 nucleotides) under Syllis pulvinata. Its description in RNAcentral is "eukaryotic LSU rRNA". It matches the Rfam family "Eukaryotic large subunit ribosomal RNA", at positions 681 to 1127 of the family's 3401-position model. The record is from RNAcentral. Lineage: Eukaryota; Metazoa; Annelida; Polychaeta; Phyllodocida; Syllidae.